CGACAUCAGCUGCUCCAUAAGUUCCCACACGAAUUAACUGACGACAUCAGCUGCUCCAUAAGUUCCCACACGAAUUGCUUGAUUCAUUGAAGAAGACGAAAGAAGCAGCCCGAAAUUGGGUCUGUAGCUCAGUUGGUUAGAGCGCACCCCUGAUAAGGUCAGGUCGGCAGUUCGAAUCUGCCCAGACCCACCAAUUUUGUGUGGGAAUUGCCCUGUAGAAUACGGGCCAUAGCUCAGCUGGGAGAGCGCCUGCUUGCACGCAGGAGGUCACGUUCGAUCCGUUACGCUCACACAUCUGCUCGUGUAAGCUGUCAGGCUUAAGGUAAAAUUUGUGAGUUCUCUUAACUGAGAAAUUCGAAUUUUCGGCGAAUGUCGUCUUCACAGUAUAACCAGAUUGCUUGGGGUUAUAUGGUCAAGUGAAG
This 422-nucleotide unclassified non-coding RNA is filed under the name chlamydia-associated clinical sample 643-G. RNAcentral describes it as "intergenic spacer region". The stretch from base 118 to 190 matches the Rfam family "tRNA". The record is from RNAcentral.